RNAcentral lists this ribosomal RNA (1578 nucleotides) under Klebsiella quasipneumoniae subsp. quasipneumoniae. Its description in RNAcentral is "partial 23S ribosomal RNA". It matches the Rfam family "Bacterial large subunit ribosomal RNA", at positions 1260 to 2822 of the family's 2925-position model. Lineage: Bacteria; Pseudomonadati; Pseudomonadota; Gammaproteobacteria; Enterobacterales; Enterobacteriaceae. The record is from RNAcentral.
CCUGUGAGGGUUGCUGGAGGUAUCAGAAGUGCGAAUGCUGACAUAAGUAACGAUAAAGCGGGUGAAAAGCCCGCUCGCCGGAAGACCAAGGGUUCCUGUCCAACGUUAAUCGGGGCAGGGUGAGUCGACCCCUAAGGCGAGGCCGAAAGGCGUAGUCGAUGGGAAACAGGUUAAUAUUCCUGUACUUGGUGUUACUGCGAAGGGGGGACGGAGAAGGCUAUGUUAGCCGGGCGACGGUUGUCCCGGUUUAAGCAUGUAGGCUGGUUAUCCAGGCAAAUCCGGAUAAUCAAGGCUGAGGUGUGAUGACGAGGCACUACGGUGCUGAAGUAACAAAUGCCCUGCUUCCAGGAAAAGCCUCUAAGCAUCAGGUAACAUCAAAUCGUACCCCAAACCGACACAGGUGGUCAGGUAGAGAAUACCAAGGCGCUUGAGAGAACUCGGGUGAAGGAACUAGGCAAAAUGGUGCCGUAACUUCGGGAGAAGGCACGCUGGUGUGUAGGUGAAGUCCCUGCGGAUGGAGCUGAGACCAGUCGAAGAUACCAGCUGGCUGCAACUGUUUAUUAAAAACACAGCACUGUGCAAACACGAAAGUGGACGUAUACGGUGUGACGCCUGCCCGGUGCCGGAAGGUUAAUUGAUGGGGUUAUCCGUAAGGAGAAGCUCUUGAUCGAAGCCCCGGUAAACGGCGGCCGUAACUAUAACGGUCCUAAGGUAGCGAAAUUCCUUGUCGGGUAAGUUCCGACCUGCACGAAUGGCGUAAUGAUGGCCAGGCUGUCUCCACCCGAGACUCAGUGAAAUUGAACUCGCUGUGAAGAUGCAGUGUACCCGCGGCAAGACGGAAAGACCCCGUGAACCUUUACUAUAGCUUGACACUGAACAUUGAGCCUUGAUGUGUAGGAUAGGUGGGAGGCUUUGAAGCGUGGACGCCAGUCUGCGUGGAGCCAACCUUGAAAUACCACCCUUUAAUGUUUGAUGUUCUAACGUAGGCCCCUAAUCGGGGUUGCGGACAGUGUCUGGUGGGUAGUUUGACUGGGGCGGUCUCCUCCCAAAGCGUAACGGAGGAGCACGAAGGUUAGCUAAUCCUGGUCGGACAUCAGGAGGUUAGUGCAAUGGCAUAAGCUAGCUUGACUGCGAGCGUGACGGCGCGAGCAGGUGCGAAAGCAGGUCAUAGUGAUCCGGUGGUUCUGAAUGGAAGGGCCAUCGCUCAACGGAUAAAAGGUACUCCGGGGAUAACAGGCUGAUACCGCCCAAGAGUUCAUAUCGACGGCGGUGUUUGGCACCUCGAUGUCGGCUCAUCACAUCCUGGGGCUGAAGUAGGUCCCAAGGGUAUGGCUGUUCGCCAUUUAAAGUGGUACGCGAGCUGGGUUUAGAACGUCGUGAGACAGUUCGGUCCCUAUCUGCCGUGGGCGCUGGAGAAUUGAGGGGGGCUGCUCCUAGUACGAGAGGACCGGAGUGGACGCAUCACUGGUGUUCGGGUUGUCAUGCCAAUGGCACUGCCCGGUAGCUAAAUGCGGAAGAGAUAAGUGCUGAAAGCAUCUAAGCACGAAACUUGCCCCGAGAUGAGUUCUCCCUGAGACU